RNAcentral lists this long non-coding RNA (487 nucleotides) under Pan troglodytes (chimpanzee). RNAcentral describes it as "long non-coding RNA NONPTRT006356". Lineage: Eukaryota; Metazoa; Chordata; Mammalia; Primates; Hominidae. The record is from RNAcentral.
GGACUGCUAGCUGCAUGAAGGAACUACCCGCUGUGGGUCUCCUCUUUGCUGACAGCUGGACGCUUGACAGAAUGACCUGCCUGAACUCGGGACCUGCUGAAUGAUGGGACUGGAGAAGCUGUAACACAAACAGGGCUAAAACACUCACUCUCCUCCCUCUGCUCCCCACCGCCCCACCCACUUGCCACAUUGGAGGUGAUGAGAAGGAGAGAAGAGCUGUGGCCUUUCAGGGAGCAUAGUCGCAGGGGCUCCCUGAGCCAGGGCUGUGAAACCCUCUUCCGGGCACUGCAGUUCCUGGCAUCUCCAAGCUUCUGAGUGCCACCGCAUUCCCCGCGUCCGGAUGCAGGUCAAUACACGGAAAGAAAUCUCUCUCCUGACUUUAGUACAAUGGCAUGAUUGGUGGCCACAGUCCAAGGAUGGUUGCUGGGUCACCAAGAGAUUUCUGACAAAGGGCAUUAAAACUGAGAAAGUUUGGGAACCUCUGAAU